RNAcentral lists this small nucleolar RNA (133 nucleotides) under Ipomoea nil (Japanese morning glory). Its description in RNAcentral is "Small nucleolar RNA Z247". It matches the Rfam family "Small nucleolar RNA Z247". Rfam says of the family: Z247 is a member of the C/D class of snoRNA which contain the C (UGAUGA) and D (CUGA) box motifs. Most of the members of the box C/D family function in directing site-specific 2'-O-methylation of substrate RNAs. The record is from Rfam by way of RNAcentral. Lineage: Eukaryota; Viridiplantae; Streptophyta; Magnoliopsida; Solanales; Convolvulaceae.
CCGGUGGAUGACGAGGACCUGAUUGUGCAUAUCUUCACCCAACUUGGUGAUGAAUAAAAUUCAGUUGUGGCAGUGCUCCGUGUGCGGACUGAGGCUAUUUCAUUCGGUGAACUACAUGAUGUGCUCAUAGACU